Molecule: long non-coding RNA, 2954 nt
Organism: Rattus norvegicus (Norway rat)
Lineage: Eukaryota; Metazoa; Chordata; Mammalia; Rodentia; Muridae
Source: RefSeq, a predicted model, not a curated record
GGCCCCGGGGGGCAGAUCUGCCACGGACAAAAGACCAUCCAGUCUUAGCCCUUCCAACUUUUCCUCUCCUGCCUCUACGUGGAAUGCUCCAUUCCUCCUCCAGGUUUCUCUCCGCAUCUUUUCCUAGAUAGCUCCACCCUCCCGCGUGGACUGCCCUCUUUGUGAGCUCCUCCCUUCCACUCUCACUGAACUGAUCCUAUUUACCAGCCUAGGAGGUUGGCUAGUCCUUUCUCUUUUAAAACUCGCUCUGCCAUUUAACUCUGCUGCUCACUGGAUAGAGAAUCCUUCUUUCCCAGGACUUCCUACCCUCGCCUCCUGCUGGCUCCUCCCCACCUUCACCCCUUCAACAGGGACUCAAGACUCGAAUCCUUAGGUGACAGUCCCCUACUCACAGAAAACACUGACGUCAGCUGCAGCUUCGGUGUGGCCAAAGGGGCUUCGGACAUGGCAAGUGUACUGGGCGUGGUCACUGCGUACCGGACGUGAGAUGAGCAGCUGGUCCCGUUCUGCCCGGAUGCGAGGUGGCUCUGUGCCUUCAGAAUCUGAGGUCUCCAGGGCUCGUCCGUCUCUACUCCAGCUCAGUUUCCCGCUACCUGGGUUCCACCCCAUGCAUCUUAGCCGCAGCUCGGCUGCCCCUUCUUCUGUCUCUGGCGCCCUGGGCUGUACUGACAACUGGGGUAAGGGCUCUGGAGAUCCAGAACAGUCUUUGAUGAGUUGGAGAGCCCAGACACCAGAACUCCCUCCUUGGGCCACAAGUCUCUGCCACCUCAGUCCUUCCUCUCCUCUCACUGCACCCAGAAUGAGCUCACAGUCCUCCUCCCUCAGAUCCAGGGAUACAGACCCCAAGCCUCCUCCCUUGGACCCAGAGGUACAUACCUCAACCUUCAGCCCUCAAACGGAGGAGUCCAAAUCCCAAUCUUAUUCUGUCAGUCCCAGGACUCCAGAAUCCAGCCCUCCUUCAGACUCUGCGGUCUAAACCUCCCACCCCUCUUCCCUCAAACCCAGGGGUUCAGACUCCAAUCCUAUUCCUUCAGAACCCAGUCCAAACCCCAGUCUUCAUUCCCUCAGUCCCAUGGAUUCAGACCCCAACCCUCUCUUACACCUGAGUGAGGUCCAGGCCUCUCUCAGAGCCGAGAGUCCAGACUUAGACUUCCUCCUUCAGACAAGGUAGGGUCUGGUCCCUGUCUUUGCUCUUAUCCCCAACCCCAGGCUCCGGGAAGGAAGCAUAUCCACACAGCACAGACUUGCCCAGAGGUCUGCGAGGAGAGCAGGCACUCGAAGCUUGCACUCUGGACCUCAGAACCCACUUACCAUACACACCCACCACGAACUCCCGAAUCUGCUGGGAGACUCCUCCCCUGAUGAUCUCAACUGUGUACACCCCAGCAUCAUCCAGCCGAGCAGAGAGGUUGCAUGGAGAGGCCCAGGCUGAACCUCCACUCCUCACCCCCAGGGGAAGGUGAACUCCCAGCUGGAACCAAGCAGCAAGCCUGUGGGGACCAUGCAGGAAGACUUCCUUCAGGCGUGUCUGUGAAAUCAGAGCCCCUCCUGGGUACUCCCUUUCUGGCUCAGGCAUCCUGCUUCCCAGCCUUCUGGUAUCCACUCUGUCUGACCUGCAGCCCCUUCUCUGACCCUUCCCUGCCCUCUUCCUCAGAUCCUUCUGUGACUCCUUAGUGUCCUCAGAACCAAGUUUCCACUUGCUGUCUCUAUCGAAGCCAUCUACCCUGAUACCUAGAACUCAGUUUCCAUUGUCCAAUACCUGCUAAACUCAGCAACUCCCUCUGCCCCAUAUUUUGAGGACCACCUAUGCAAAGGCUGGGGAGGCUUCCCACUAUCUUUGCCCCUAGCACUGCCACCAGUCUCUGAACACUACCUAGAUCUCGCUCCCCAUUUUCUCCUCUUGGUGCCCACUGCUAAGACCUUAGCCUUUCCAUCUGCACCUCCCCCCACUCACUUUCUGCAACCCCCUACUCUGGUUAAGCCCCCUCUCUUGCCAUCCAACCCUUUCCUCCACGUCCCAGCCCUGCCUGGCUUCACAGCAUCCUCUGUAGAUAUCUUUACUGGCCUCUCCCACUUGUCUGCACUAUGCCUUACCCUCCUGAACACGCUGCUCUUCUGAUGCUAUCUUACCUUCCGGCCUUUGCCAGCAUUCUUUCCUUUACCUGGAAUGCAUUUCCCCCCUCCAAUCUGGUCACCUCCAAACUGGUCCUUCAGGUCUCACCUCAUUAACAGCCAUAAUAAUGACAACUUAAGCUCAGCCAGGAACUAUGCUAAAUUUUACCAGCACAUUAUCAUCAGGCUGAUUUCCUUUUCUAAGUGUCCUCUGAGUAGAAUGUUUGGUCCUCACUUCAUAAACCAAGAGAUGAGGAUGCAGAAAACCCAAAUUUCCCAUGGGAGGUUGCAGAGCUAGCAGGAGAGGCUGGACUUAGGUCAAGGCUGGUCAGAUGCUUUAGCCCUUCAGAAAGUUUUAUAACCCCUUGCUAGGCUUUAGGCUUCUGCUCAGCUCUGAGCCUCUGAGAACUGGUGCUUACAGUGCUGAUGGAAGGCAUGGUCAGAAUGCACUGAGCAUGCUCCAUAUAUCAUAUAUAGCUCAGAAGUGAUGUCAGAAAACCUGUUGAGAAAUUAAUGUUUUGCUGUGCAUGGUGGCACACACCUUUGAUCCCAGCACUUGGGAGGCAGAGGCAGGAGGAUCUCUGAGUUCAAGGCUACCCUGGUCUACAUAGGGAGUUCUGGGAUGGCCAGGACAAUAGGGAGAUUCUUUCUUUAAAAAAAUACAAAUAAAUUAAUAAUAAUAAUAAUAUCCUAAUUUAUUCUUUGAGAAUUUAACAUAUUUUGAUCAUUUCUUUUCCUGUCCCCUAACUCCUUCCAGAUCUUUCCCAACCUCCCUACUCACCCAUCUUCAUGUUCUUUCUCUUUCAUAAUAUAAAGUAAAAUAAAAUAAAGGGCAGAGCCCA